GGAGAUAGCUGGUUCUCUCCGAAAUAGCUUUAGGGCUAGCCUCAAGUGAUGAUUAUUGGAGGUAGAGCACUGUUUGGACGAGGGGCCCCUCUCGGGUUACCGAAUUCAGACAAACUCCGAAUGCCAAUUAAUUUAACUUGGGAGUCAGAACAUGGGUGAUAAGGUCCGUGUUCGAAAGGGAAACAGCCCAGACCACCAGCUAAGGUCCCAAAAUAUAUGUUAAGUGGAAAAGGAUGUGGCGUUGCCCAGACAACUAGGAUGUUGGCUUAGAAGCAGCCAUCAUUUAAAGAGUGCGUAAUAGCUCACUAGUCGAGUGACACUGCGCCGAAAAUGUACCGGGGCUAAACAUAUUACCGAAGCUGUGGAUUGUCCUUUGGACAAUGGUAGGAGAGCGUUCUAAGGGCGUUGAAGCAUGAUCGUAAGGACAUGUGGAGCGCUUAGAAGUGAGAAUGCCGGUGUGAGUAGCGAAAGACGGGUGAGAAUCCCGUCCACCGAUUGACUAAGGUUUCCAGAGGAAGGCUCGUCCGCUCUGGGUUAGUCGGGUCCUAAGCUGAGGCCGACAGGCGUAGGCGAUGGAUAACAGGUUGAUAUUCCUGUACCACCUAUA
This 607-nucleotide ribosomal RNA is filed under the name Staphylococcus aureus. RNAcentral describes it as "partial 23S ribosomal RNA". It matches the Rfam family "Bacterial large subunit ribosomal RNA", at positions 841 to 1452 of the family's 2925-position model. Lineage: Bacteria; Bacillati; Bacillota; Bacilli; Caryophanales; Staphylococcaceae. The record is from RNAcentral.